Equus caballus (horse) is the source of this 1764-nucleotide long non-coding RNA. RefSeq lists it as uncharacterized. The record is from RefSeq and is a predicted model, not a curated record. Lineage: Eukaryota; Metazoa; Chordata; Mammalia; Perissodactyla; Equidae.
ACCUCACUACUCCUAGUUUUACUGCCAAGUAUAGGUCUUCUGAUUACUGCCUACAAUCCGUGGAGUGUUCUGGGAAUUAGAAAAUGUAAUCUUUAUAAAAUUCUUACCGCAGUGCCAGGCAUACAAAAAUGACUUAAUCCUUAUUAGCUGUUGUAAUUAUUAUUAAUUGUAGACUUUGACUCACAAUCUUCUUUUCCUUCCCAACUCCUGCUAUUAUUCUGGGUGGAUUUAUUGUGAAAGGGAUGAUUCAUCCAUUCACACAAUAGCCUUUGAGACCCUGGGGUUGAACUAUUCAGUGGCCUUUAUCUCCUCUCCGUAUUAGCCAAACACUUAUAGGACCUCAUCUUGGAAUUCUUCCAUAUUAUAAGUACUCAUUGUUCUAGCCUCCCCUCUAAUUCAAACUCCGUCUGAAGACGAGGGAUGGGGAAUGAUCUUCCUAAAGUACUAAUAUGAUUACAUCCUCAACCAGUUAAAAACAUCUUCAAUGGCUCAUCCUAGUAAAAUUCAGCACCUUUAGCUUUAACUUCACAUCUUGACUCAGUUUACUUCUUCUCCCUUAAUCUUAUGCCGUGUACACUACACCCUUAACUCUCAAAUCUCCCAACUCCAAUGAAACUUUAUCCUCUUUCUCUUUCUAGCCUUGAGUUUUUGCAAACACUGGCCCUUAGGGUGGGGAUAGUGGACAGCGCUUUCUUCCUUAUAAGCCAGAUUCUCUGACUUACAUCUCAAUGUAUUUAGAGGACUACUCCUGUAGCAUACCUUUCCAAAUCCCUUCUCUGACACCCGCCCCUACCCUUUGUUUUAUCUCAAAAUCAGUGUCCAAGUCAGUGUCCCUCCUGAGAUGGCAUGGCUAUCCAGUGUGGAUUGCACAUUGUAGCACUUUGACCCUACUGAAUUAUAAUUUUGCCCCUACAGUUUACUUAUCACUCAUUUCUACAAGAGCGUAAAUUCUUUGAGGACAAAACCUGGUCUGAUCGAGUUUCUUUUUACAUUUCCAGUGCCUAGUACUGCCUGGAACACAGGAGGGACUCAAGAAUGAUUAACUGAGUCAAUGAAUCAAUCUCAUCUAUUUGAGCAGAGAACUUGAUGAAACCGUUUCACAAAGCGUCACAAGAUGGCUAGAGAUGGAGUGUAUGCAUAAAUACCCCAAAGGGAAUUUAAAGAUCUAUGAGUUUACAGUAACAUUUCUACAGCAUUUGCUUUCUUCUGCCUCUUUACAUCUACCAGGAAAAGCAUGAAAAGUGAAAAUAGUUUUGUCGUUACCGAGCCCUAAGGGACCAGUGACCCACAAGUGGGUCCUUUUACUGGGAGCCACUCAGACACCAACAGAACAAGAUGGGGUUCAGAAUAGCAGAGCAGAAACGUUAUUCAUUGAUCACCGAGCGGUGGAGGCAGAGCUCCUGCCCUACAGCAUCUUCUCCCUGAAGGGAAGUGGUUCCAAACAAACGGAAAUCAAGCAAGUGUUUUUCAUAUUCUGAUCAGCUUUUACCUGAAGGAAGUGUGGAACAUGCAAAGACAGUAAUAAAUGUAUGCUCUGUCUACAGCUUAAUGAAAUACACAAUGGUCUACAGUGUCUUUUCAAAUUAGUUUCGCAGGAAUGAGGAAAUAUGCAUGAUGGCAAUCACAUAGAGAUGCAAUCAACAACCACCCUGACCCAGACCAAGCCCCACUGCAAGAGCAGCGCCUGCACAGAUGAGCCAAGAGGUGCCAGCUGAGCCUGCACAAGUGAAUACCCACCUCUCUCCAUCUGAAAUAAAAGGCCCC